RNAcentral lists this ribosomal RNA (373 nucleotides) under uncultured organism. RNAcentral describes it as "partial 16S ribosomal RNA". It matches the Rfam family "Bacterial small subunit ribosomal RNA", at positions 527 to 896 of the family's 1533-position model. The record is from RNAcentral.
GUAGGUGGCAAGCGUUGUCCGGAAUUAUUGGGCGUAAAGCGCGCGCAGGUGGGUUCUUUAAGUCUGAUGUGAAAGCCCCCGGGCUCAACCGGGGAGGGUCAUUGGAAACUGGGGAACUUGAGUGCAGGAGAGGAAAGUGGAAUUCCACGUGUAGCGGUGAAAUGCGUAGAUAUGUGGAGGAACACCAGUGGCGAAGGCGACUUUCUGGCCUGUAACUGACACUGAGGCGCGAAAGCGUGGGGAGCAAACAGGAUUAGAUACCCUGGUAGUCCACGCCGUAAACGAUGAGUGCUAAGUGUUGGGGGGUUUCCGCCCCUCAGUGCUGCAGCUAACGCAUUAAGCGCUCCGCCUGGGGAGUACGGUCGCAAGACUG